AAGUCGUAACAAGGUUUCCGUAGGUGAACCUGCGGAAGGAUCAUUACAAAUGCAAGAAGGGAAGAAGCAAGACCCUGCCCUUGGGCGGACGUCCGUCUCCUUCUCUCUUCUUUGAAUCUUAUGUGCACCGUAUACAAACCUAUUCGCCUUUAAAAAUAUCUAAAGCCUUAAGCAUAUUUAAAAUUCUAAAACGUCUCCCGAUCGAAAGGUCGCGCUGACGCCAACGAAUUAACAAAUAAAAAAACAACUUUUAACAAUGGAUCUCUUGGCUCUC
Molecule: unclassified non-coding RNA, 274 nt
Filed under: fungal sp.
Lineage: Eukaryota; Fungi
Description: partial internal transcribed spacer region
Rfam family: Eukaryotic small subunit ribosomal RNA (bases 1-46)
Source: RNAcentral